Sitophilus oryzae (rice weevil) is the source of this 534-nucleotide long non-coding RNA. RefSeq lists it as uncharacterized. The record is from RefSeq and is a predicted model, not a curated record. The transcript is spliced from 2 exons. NCBI's taxonomy places the organism in Eukaryota, Metazoa, Arthropoda, Insecta, Coleoptera, Curculionidae.
UAAUAAAAUCGACUUUAGUAUUUUAAAACAAGACAUCCAUCUUUUUCAGGUUUCUUUUUAUUUUGUACCAAUAAAAUAAUAGCACAAAUAUGGAAGUAAAAUUUCUUAGUGCGACGAUUAUUGUAUUUUCCACGAUUGUAUACGCUUCUUCGGUAUCAUUAAUCGAUAAAAAGUUAGAAAAUACCUAUGGUCCAACUAUAACAGACGGAAAUUGCGAUAGUACACCAGAUAAAGAGUUGGUCGAUAGUGUCAACGUUAAAAAAAAUGCAAUUCCAUUUUUCGAAAGGAGUGAUACAGUAACUUAUUAUGGUGACAAGAAAAUAUAUUGCAUUAAAGUUCUCAAUCUACGGACUGAUCACUUCGGACAUGCUAAUAUCACUGCAGGUGGUGUCGAACAUAGUUUUGCUACGAUCUUAAUGGAAUCUGACACAAGUCAUGGUAUGGAAUUUCACAUUUAUAUUUAUGCCAAUUAGAAAAUACUGCCUUCUUUUGUAUCGAAUAUUUGAAUAUUUAAUAAAAUAACUUUGUAAUUUG